Molecule: RNA transcript, 1889 nt
Organism: Homo sapiens (human)
Lineage: Eukaryota; Metazoa; Chordata; Mammalia; Primates; Hominidae
Gene: GABARAPL3
Gene name: GABA type A receptor associated protein like 3 (pseudogene)
Exons: 2
Source: RefSeq, marked validated
CAGCUGUUUGGAAAAGCCGCCGGUAUUUCUCCACCUGGCUCUCCUCUACCUCCAGGCAGGCGCACCCGAGGUCCCCCUCCCACCCCACCUUCUGCCCUCCCGCACACUUGGACCAGUGCUGUUGACCCGGAAGCGGACAUUUCUGCAGCUAUUCUAAGCACACGUCGGCGGAGGGAGCGGGACGUGGCCAGCGGUCAGCGGCGAAGGAGGCAGGCCCUGCGCGGGGAUCACGGAAGCCCUGUGAUUCACCAUGAAGUUCCAGUACAAGGAGGUCCAUCCCUUUGAGUAUCGGAAAAAGGAAGGAGAAAAGAUCCGGAAGAAAUAUCCGGACAGGGUCCCCUUGAUUGUAGAGAAGGCUCCAAAAGCAAGGGUGCCUGAUCUGGACAGGAGGAAGUACCUAGUGCCCUCCGACCUUACCGAUGGCCAGUUCUACCUUUUAAUCCGGAAGAGAAUCCACCUGAGACCUGAGGACGCCUUAUUCUUCUUUGUCAACAACACUAUCCCUCCCACUAGUGCUACCAUGGGCCAACUAUAUGAGGACAGUCAUGAGGAAGAUGAUUUUCUGUAUGUGGCCUACAGUAAUGAGAGUGUCUAUGGGAAAUGAGUGGUUGGAAGCCCAGCAGAUGGAAGCACCUGGACUUAGGGGUAGGGGAGGGGUGUGUGUGUGACUUGGGGAAAGAGAGGGCGGCUCCCACCGUGAGGAGACAGAAGGUGAAGACAUAUAGAAACUUUACACCGCACACACCGUCAACGCAUUUUCACAUGCUCAACUGAUAUUUUUUGUUGCUUCCUUGGCCCAGGGAGAAAGCAUGUCAGGACAGAGCUGUUGGAUUGGCUUUGAUAGAGGAAUGGGGAUGAUGUAAUUUUAUGGCAUUCCUGAGAUUUAAUUUUUGUGCAGUUUCAUAGAAAGGUCGGUCAGGAGGUGGACAAGUUGGGGUCAGAGAUGAUGGCAGUCCAGCAGCAACUCCCUGUGCUCCCUUCUCUUUGGGCAGAGAUUCUGUUUUUGACAGUUGCACAAGACAGGUAGGGAAAGGGGACUUGUGGUAGUGGGCCAUACCUGGGGACGAAAAGAGACCCACUGUAAUUGAUGCAUCGUGGCCCCCGAUCUUCCGUAUCCCACACUUCUUUUCUCCCAUCCCAGUUGCAAUCUCACUCACAAACAUCACAGUACCACCCCAGGGGCGGCAGUAGACACCAACCCAGAAAUUUAGACAGGGAUCUCUUAUCUUUGGAAAAUAGGGGUUAGGCAUGAGGGUGGUUAUGAUUAAGAAGAUAAUUUUGUUGUUAAAUAGCAUUAAACUGGAAUUGACAGAGUGAGUUGAGCAUCUCUGUCUAACCUGCUCUUUCUCUCUGGUGCUCCUCAUCUCACCCCUACCUUGGAAUUUAAUAAGCUUCAGGCAUUUCCAAUUGCAGACUAAAACCACUUCUACCAUCUCCUCUAGUAUUUUCCAUGUAUCAGGACAGAGAUGUCUUAUGUAGGGAAGGGGCAGGUAUGAAGUGAGGUAGAUUAUCUAUACCUCUCACUCAUUCAGGAUUCUCGCUCCCAUGCUGCUGUCCCUUCAUUCUCACACUCACAGGAAUGCUAUGUGAUGGCCAGCUGCUUCCCUUCUUGGUUAUCCACUGCAGCUGCUAGUUAGAAAGGUUUGCAGGGAUGACUUUUAGUAAAUCAUGGGGAUUUUAUUGAUUUAUUAUCACUUAUAGGAUUUUGUGGGGUGGGAGUGGGGAGCAGGAAUUGCACUCAGACAUGACAUUUCAAUUCAUCUCUGCAAAUGAAAAGGGUUCUUCCUCUUGGGGGAAAUCUGUGUGUCAGUUCUGUCAGCUGCAAGUUCUUGUGUAAUGAAGUCAAUGCUGUCAGGCCAAGAAAUGAAAUAAUUGCUUACCUUAAAAAA